GAUGAACGCUGGCGGCGUGCCUAAUACAUGCAAGUCGAGCGAACGGACGAGAAGCUUGCUUCUCUGAUGUUAGCGGCGGACGGGUGAGUAACACGUGGAUAACCUACCUAUAAGACUGGGAUAACUUCGGGAAACCGUAGCUAAUACCGGAUAAUAUUUUGAACCGCAUGGUUCAAAAGUGAAAGACGGUCUUGCUGUCACUUAUAGAUGGAUCCGCGCUGCAUUAGCUAGUUGGUAAGGUAACGGCUUACCAAGGCAACGAUGCAUAGCCGACCUGAGAGGGGGAUCGGCCACACUGGAACUGAGACACGGUCCAGACUCCUACGGGAGGCAGCAGUAGGGAAUCUUCCGCAAUGGGCGAAAGCCUGACGGAGCAACGCCGCGUGAGUGAUGAGGGUCUUCGGAUCGUAAAACUCUGUUAUUAGGGAAGAACAUAUGUGUAAGUAACUGUGCACAUCUUGACGGUACCUAAUCAGAAAGCCACGGCUAACUACGUG
This 497-nucleotide ribosomal RNA is filed under the name uncultured bacterium. RNAcentral describes it as "partial 16S ribosomal RNA". It matches the Rfam family "Bacterial small subunit ribosomal RNA", at positions 28 to 507 of the family's 1533-position model. The record is from RNAcentral.